This 494-nucleotide ribosomal RNA is filed under the name uncultured bacterium. RNAcentral's name for it is "bacterial SSU rRNA". It matches the Rfam family "Bacterial small subunit ribosomal RNA", at positions 28 to 521 of the family's 1533-position model. The record is from RNAcentral.
GAUGAACGCUAGCGGGAGGCUUAACACAUGCAAGUCGAAGGGCAGCACGUCUUCGGAUGGUGGCGACUGGCGAACGGGUGCGUAACGCGUAUGCGACCUACCCUCAACAGGGGAAUAGCCCAGAGAAAUUUGGAUUAAUACCCCAUAGUAUUACAGAUUCGCAUGUUUCUGUGAUUAAAGUUCCAACGGUUGAGGAUGGGCAUGCGUGACAUUAGCUUGUUGGUGAGGUAACGGCUCACCAAGGCAACGAUGUCUAGGGGUUCUGAGAGGAUGAUCCCCCACACUGGUACUGAGACACGGACCAGACUCCUACGGGAGGCAGCAGUGAGGAAUAUUGGACAAUGGAGGCAACUCUGAUCCAGCCAUCCCGCGUGCAGGAAGAAGGCCCUAUGGGUUGUAAACUGCUUUUAUACAGGAAUAAACCCCUCUACGUGUAGAGGGCUGAAGGUACUGUAAGAAUAAGCACCGGCUAACUCCGUGCCAGCAGCCGCGGU